RNAcentral lists this non-coding RNA (29 nucleotides) under Homo sapiens (human). The record is from RNAcentral. Lineage: Eukaryota; Metazoa; Chordata; Mammalia; Primates; Hominidae.
GUGAAAUGAGGGAGUUGCAUUAGAUGCUC